ACGCGCCUUGAAGUGGGGGCAUUUGUAAACAUCGAAAUUUCGGUAAAACAAUGUUGACCGACAACUCAAAGUUUCAACGCUCAUGUAUUACAUAAAUUUUACACGUAGUGUGUGUCUAAACAAAAAAAUCAAAAUAAGUUGGAAAAGUCAUCAAACAGGACACGUGUCAACACCUGGCAAAAACGACUUAUUUCAUCUGGAAUAUUAUAUUCAAAAUUAGGCCUUGAAAAUUUCUAUAAAUAGAAGGGUAAUUCAUUCAUUUGAAAAAAAAAAAGGGGACCAAAAUCAUUAGGCAAAAUUCUUGAAGCUCUGAAGCUCUGAAACUUCGAAGCUCUCAAGCAUCCAGGUUCCCGAAGAAUCAAGAAAGCCUUCUUCGUUCUUCGUUCAUCG
This 390-nucleotide long non-coding RNA is filed under the name Malus domestica (apple). Its description in RNAcentral is "long non-coding RNA (MDOM_LNC011530)". The record is from RNAcentral. Lineage: Eukaryota; Viridiplantae; Streptophyta; Magnoliopsida; Rosales; Rosaceae.